This 474-nucleotide long non-coding RNA is filed under the name Sinocyclocheilus anshuiensis. RNAcentral's name for it is "lncRNA (ENSSANG00000052055.1)". The record is from RNAcentral. Lineage: Eukaryota; Metazoa; Chordata; Actinopteri; Cypriniformes; Cyprinidae.
UGUUUGUUUGUAGCCAGUAGAGGGCAGUAGUGAGCUGAGGAGUCUCCUGCUGAUGAGUCCUGCUGAUCUACAAACUGAACUCAAGAGACAUGAGAAUCUGUGUGCUAAAAUUGCAUCUUGUGCACAUAGAGCAGACACAAACAAGGGCCAUUUCCAAGGGAUGAAACAGACUGGCAGCUCUUAUGAAUUUCUGAAGGCAAUCUUAAGCCACUGAGGGAUAAUUUCUCGAUGUACGACAUGGGCGGCAGCUGGUGCCCGCUCAAGGUGGAUCACGUAACUCUCUCUUUAUCACUUCUAGAGGCUGUCUCAAGGACAAAAGCUUAAGCUGACCUAACAAAACACACACUUGUCACACACUUUGCAUUGCUACAGUUGAGAAGAACAAGAACAGCGUUUCAAAAUUCAGCAAUUUGGUCUGUUCGCCAUGGACUGUUAAGCUUCUUAAGAGUUUCAAGAUGUGUAACCAAGUACGGC